ACUCAAAUGAAUUGACGGGGGCCCGCACAAGCGGUGGAGCAUGUGGUUUAAUUCGACGCAACGCGCAGAACCUUACCAGGGUUUGACAUCCUGUGCUCGACUCCGAAAGGGGUUUUCCCCGCAAGGGGCGCAGAGACAGGUGCUGCAUGGCUGUCGUCAGCUCGUGUCGUGAGAUGUUGGGUUAAGUCCCGCAACGAGCGCAACCCUCGCCUUUAGUUGCCAUCAUUCAGUUGGGCACUCUAGAGGGACCGCCGGCGACAAGCCGGAGGAAGGUGGGGAUGACGUCAAGUCCUCAUGGCCCUUACACCCUGGGCUACACACGUGCUACAAUGGCGGUGACAGUGGGCAGCUAACUCGCGAGAGCAAGCUAAUCCCAAAAAACCGUCCCAGUUCAGAUUGCACUCUGCAACUCGGGUGCAUGAAGGUGGAAUCGCUAGUAAUCGCAGAACAGCAGGCUGCGGUGAAUACGUUCCCGGGCCUUGUACACACCGCCCGU
RNAcentral lists this ribosomal RNA (496 nucleotides) under uncultured bacterium. RNAcentral describes it as "bacterial SSU rRNA". It matches the Rfam family "Bacterial small subunit ribosomal RNA", at positions 899 to 1397 of the family's 1533-position model. The record is from RNAcentral.